Cavia porcellus (domestic guinea pig) is the source of this 295-nucleotide regulatory RNA element. It matches the Rfam family "Mason-Pfizer monkey virus packaging signal". Rfam says of the family: The packaging signal is located in the 5' UTR and is required for specific RNA encapsidation. The record is from Rfam. Lineage: Eukaryota; Metazoa; Chordata; Mammalia; Rodentia; Caviidae.
UGGUGCCCAACGUGGGGCUCCUAGCACAAAGGGCUCAAUGAGGGAGCCGUCCUGAGACACACACGUAAAAGUGAAACUAAAAAUUUUGUGACCAGCGCUACGCAGGAGCCUGCCACGCUGCUAGAGUCAUGGUAAGUGGACUGCGAUCCUUUCCCUUUUUUUCCGGCAUGGGUCAGGCAUUAAGUGACCAUAAAUGCUUUGUGUCAAGUUUAAGUAAAGUUUUAAAGACAAGAGGGAUAAAGGCUAAAAAAAUAUUUAUUGCAGUAUUUUCAAUUUAUUCAUAACGUUUGCCCUU